GGGCCCGCACAAGCGGUGGAGCAUGUGGUUUAAUUCGAAGCAACGCGAAGAACCUUACCAGGUCUUGACAUCCUUUGACCGCUCUGGAGACAGAGUUUUCCCUUCGGGACAAAGUGACAGGUGGUGCAUGGUUGUCGUCAGCUCGUGUCGUGAGAUGUUGGGUUAAGUCCCGCAACGAGCGCAACCCUUAUUGUUAGUUGCCAUCAUUCAGUUGGGCACUCUAGCGAGACUGCCGGUGACAAACCGGAGGAAGGUGGGG
Molecule: ribosomal RNA, 259 nt
Filed under: uncultured prokaryote
Description: partial 16S ribosomal RNA
Rfam family: Bacterial small subunit ribosomal RNA
Source: RNAcentral